Molecule: transfer RNA, 73 nt
Filed under: Escherichia coli
Lineage: Bacteria; Pseudomonadati; Pseudomonadota; Gammaproteobacteria; Enterobacterales; Enterobacteriaceae
Also listed under: 4 other names
Description: tRNA-Met(cat)
Rfam family: tRNA
About the family: Transfer RNA (tRNA) molecules are approximately 80 nucleotides in length.
Source: RNAcentral
GCGGGGUGGAGCAGCCUGGUAGCUCGUCGGGCUCAUAACCCGAAGGUCGUCGGUUCAAAUCCGGCCCCCCGCA